GACGAACGCUGGCGGCGUGCUUAACACAUGCAAGUCGAACGGACAGGCCCGGCUUUUGUGGGGUGCUCGAGUGGCGAACGGGUGAGUAACCCGUGAGUAAGCUGCCCUUGACUUUGGGAUAACUUCAGGCCACUGGGGCUCAUACCGGGUAGGAGCUCCUGCUUCUUGGUGGGGGUUGGUAAGUUUCGGCGGUUGGGGAUGGAAAGGCGGCUUCUCGGCUUGUUGGUGGGGUUGUGGCUUAACAAGGCUUUGACACGUAGACGGGCUGAGAGGGUGACAGGCCACACUGGGACUGAGAUGAGGCCCAGACUCCUACGGGAGGCAGCAGUGCAGAAGAGUGUCCUAUGGGCGGAACCAUGGUGCAGCGAAGCCGCGUGGGGGGUAACGGGCUUCGGGUUGUAAACCACUUUCGUCUGUGCCGAGGCGUGAGUGACGGUAAUGGGUAAAGAAGCCCCGGCUAACUACGUG
RNAcentral lists this ribosomal RNA (468 nucleotides) under uncultured bacterium. RNAcentral describes it as "partial 16S ribosomal RNA". It matches the Rfam family "Bacterial small subunit ribosomal RNA", at positions 28 to 507 of the family's 1533-position model. The record is from RNAcentral.